RNAcentral lists this long non-coding RNA (2043 nucleotides) under Marmota monax (woodchuck). The record is from RNAcentral. Lineage: Eukaryota; Metazoa; Chordata; Mammalia; Rodentia; Sciuridae.
AUUAACUACUAAGAGAGGAAAGAAAUGUCUAAAGAAUACAGUAAAAGGAGAUGUAGGAAGCAACCACCACCUGUAGACUGGGAGAGAAACUGAGGAAGGAACAGGUUUGGAAGAGCCCUUCCCCUCCCCACACACCUGAGACUUGCAUCUCUUUGAAGAAGGUGUGGAUGGAAAAGUUUGUUGAGGUGCCAAGGUCUGGUGUGGCAGCAGGGUGCCAACCAAGGACACUUGCUAGGAAGUCACUUGCUGGGGUGAUAAUGACACUUGGGGGAAAACCACUUGAGAGGGCACCUGCAAAACUCUGGAGGGCAAGUGCCGUUGGGUGUUCCGCACAGAGAAUCCUCCCCACAGAGAAUCACAGCGGAGAAUCCUCAUGCUGGCAAGGAAGCCACGUGCAGACAGGGAAGAGUGCCAGAACCAGGAGAAGCAAAGCCCCUUCCAGUUGUGUUCCUCAGUGCUUGCAAUGUGUCCACUGGCACUGUGGUGGGCAUGUCCCCCAAGAGUUCACGUGUGGAAACCUAAUUCCCAUUACAACACUGUCAAGAGUGUAACUUCGGAGAGAUGAUCAGAUCUGCCCUCAUGAGUGGAUUAAUGCUGUUUUUAAAGGAGCGGGGUCAUGUGAACAAGGAUGUGGUUGGCCUCCUUCUCUCAUGCAUGUGCUGUCUUGCCCUUCUAUCUUCUACCAUGGUAUGUGACUAGUAAGAAGACCCUUGCCAGGUGUGGGCACCUUGACCUUGUACUUCCUGGCCUCCACAACUGUAAGAAAUACAUUUCUGUUCUUCAUGAAUUACCCCAUGUUGGGUAUUCUGUUAAAGCAGCACAAAACAGACUUCUUUUGCAAAAAUAUUUCUAAGUUACAACUCCAGUAUCACAAAACAGAGGAUAAGGAUGAAUCUUGAGCUGGCACAAUGACCAUUAUCUUACAUAACCACUCUUUAGCCUGAAGUGUCUUGACUUUUGAAUGGUUUGAAAAUAUACCUUAGAUGAUUUCAAUCCUUUAAAAUUGGUUGAAACUGUUUUAUGGUCCAACAUACGUUUUGUCUUGGUAACUGUUCCUUGUGUGUAUUCUGCAUCUGUAAUGUUCUGUAGGUACCAAUAAGGUCAAAUUGAGCCAUAUAAUCCAAGUCUUCUAUAUUAAUAGCUUUUUCUCGACUGGUUCUUUAAAUUGCUGAGGGAGGUAUAUUGAAAUCAUUAACUCUGUAUUUGCGUAGUCCUCAGCUCUGUCAAUUUUGGCUUCAUCUAUUUAGCAGUUUUGUUACUGUCUGCACACACAUUAAGGAUUAUUAUGUUAUGAGGAAUUAUCCCCUUUGCUAUUAUAAAAUAUUCUUCAUAGCUGGCAUCAUCCUCUGUCCUGUAGCCUGUUUUGCACAAUAUAGCUCGCUCAUUCUUUUGCUUUUCACCUUUCUAUGUUACAGUGGGUUUUGAAAUUUUUUUUUAAAUUUUUGUAGUUGUAGACGGACACCAUACAUUUAUUUUAUUUGUUAUACAUGAUGGCAGAAUACAAUUCAUUUCAUAUUACACAUACCGACCACAAUUUUUCAAGACACUGGUUGUACACAAAGUAUUUUUACACCAUUCAUGUCUUAUACAUGUACUUAGGGUAAUCAUUUCUAACUCAUUCUACCAUCAUUCGUACCUCCUUACCCCCUCCUUUCCCUUCCUACCCCUUUGCCCUAUCUAAAGUUCCUCCAUUCCUCCCAUGCUCCCCCUGCCCAGUCGCCAUUAUGCAUCUUCAUCCUUAUAUCAAAGAAAACAUUUGGCCUUUGGUUUUUUGGGAUUGGCUUGCUUUGCUUAGCAUUAUGUUCUCCAACUUCAUCCAUUUACCUGCAAAUGUCAUGAUUUUAUUUUUUUAAUGCUGAGUAAUGUUCCUUUGUGAAUAUAUACUAAAGUUUCCCUAUCCAUUCAUCUACUGAAGGGCAACUAGGUUGGUUGCACAAUUUAGCUAUUGUGAAUUGUGCUGCUAUAAACAUUAAUGUGGCUGUGUCCCUGUAGUAUGCCGUUUUUAAGUCCUUUGGGUAUAAACCAAGGAGUGGGAAAGCCAGG